This 407-nucleotide ribosomal RNA is filed under the name uncultured bacterium. Its description in RNAcentral is "partial 16S ribosomal RNA". It matches the Rfam family "Bacterial small subunit ribosomal RNA", at positions 28 to 526 of the family's 1533-position model. The record is from RNAcentral.
GACGAACGCUGGCGGCGUGCCUUAUACAUGCAAGUAGAACGCCGUUGCGAACGGGUGAGUAACGCGUAGGUAACUGCCUCAAAGCGGGGGAAAACUAUUGGAAACGAUAGCUAAAACCGCAUUCUGUGCGAUGGACCUGCGUUGUAUUAGCUAGUUGGUGAGGUAAAGUCUGACCAAGGCGACGAUACAUAGCCGACCUGAGAGGGGGAUCUGCAAAACUGGGACUGAGACACGGACCAAACUCCUACGGGAGGCAGCAGUAGGGAAUCUUAGGAAAUGGACGGAAGUCCGAGCGAUGAACGCCGCGGGAGUGAAAAAGGUGUUCGGAUCGUAAAGCUCUGUUGUUAGAGAAGCGGUAACUAACCAGAAAGGGACGGCGAACUACGGGCCAGCAGCCGCGGUAAUUC